Molecule: long non-coding RNA, 470 nt
Filed under: Elaeis guineensis (African oil palm)
Lineage: Eukaryota; Viridiplantae; Streptophyta; Magnoliopsida; Arecales; Arecaceae
Description: long non-coding RNA (EGUI_LNC041465)
Source: RNAcentral
CAAUAGCGACAUAAAAAUAAAUGGUUCUUUCAUGCACUUCCAAUGUGACAUAUUAUAUACAACUAGUAUCACAGGCUAUAUGCUGUAGGAAGUACUCAAAUUGUCAAAAGGAUUAAAUCAUCUGUUGCUAGACCAAACCGAAUAUUAUGUGGGUCACUUUCAAAGUGUGGUUGCUUUGCAUCAAAGUCUUUCCACAUUACGGAGUCAACCGGGUGGCUAAGUAUGUUCUCUUUCGGAAUCCGCUGCUCAUGAUGCCAUCUCAUUUCUUCAGCUAUCUUUGUGGACAAAUACAACCUUUGAAGUCUUGGAAUCAAUGAAAAAUAUCUCAAAACCUUUUGAGGUAUCUUCUUUCCUUUUUUGUUAUCAAUUUUGUACCUAAGCUCACCGCAUUUUGGACAUUCAAUUGCCUAUUUAUGAUCCUUAUAAAAUAAUAUAUAGUCAUUUUUGCAGGCAUGUAUAAAAAUAUAGCC